This 624-nucleotide ribosomal RNA is filed under the name Lactiplantibacillus pentosus. Its description in RNAcentral is "bacterial SSU rRNA". It matches the Rfam family "Bacterial small subunit ribosomal RNA", at positions 61 to 650 of the family's 1533-position model. Lineage: Bacteria; Bacillati; Bacillota; Bacilli; Lactobacillales; Lactobacillaceae. The record is from RNAcentral.
GUCGAACGAACUCUGGUAUUGAUUGGUGCUUGCAUCAUGAUUUACAUUUGAGUGAGUGGCGAACUGGUGAGUAACACGUGGGAAACCUGCCCAGAAGCGGGGGAUAACACCUGGAAACAGAUGCUAAUACCGCAUAACAACUUGGACCGCAUGGUCCGAGUUUGAAAGAUGGCUUCGGCUAUCACUUUUGGAUGGUCCCGCGGCGUAUUAGCUAGAUGGUGGGGUAACGGCUCACCAUGGCAAUGAUACGUAGCCGACCUGAGAGGGUAAUCGGCCACAUUGGGACUGAGACACGGCCCAAACUCCUACGGGAGGCAGCAGUAGGGAAUCUUCCACAAUGGACGAAAGUCUGAUGGAGCAACGCCGCGUGAGUGAAGAAGGGUUUCGGCUCGUAAAACUCUGUUGUUAAAGAAGAACAUAUCUGAGAGUAACUGUUCAGGUAUUGACGGUAUUUAACCAGAAAGCCACGGCUAACUACGUGCCAGCAGCCGCGGUAAUACGUAGGUGGCAAGCGUUGUCCGGAUUUAUUGGGCGUAAAGCGAGCGCAGGCGGUUUUUUAAGUCUGAUGUGAAAGCCUUCGGCUCAACCGAAGAAGUGCAUCGGAAACUGGGAAACUUGAGUGCA